RNAcentral lists this transfer RNA (71 nucleotides) under Neotoma lepida (desert woodrat). It matches the Rfam family "tRNA". Rfam says of the family: Transfer RNA (tRNA) molecules are approximately 80 nucleotides in length. Their secondary structure includes four short double-helical elements and three loops (D, anti-codon, and T loops). The record is from Rfam by way of RNAcentral. Lineage: Eukaryota; Metazoa; Chordata; Mammalia; Rodentia; Cricetidae.
GAGGGCAGAGCUUAGUGGUAAGCACACACUUAGCAUGUGUGAGGCCCUGGGUUCAAGUCCCAGCACCCCCC